Molecule: unclassified non-coding RNA, 577 nt
Filed under: Hevea brasiliensis (rubber tree)
Lineage: Eukaryota; Viridiplantae; Streptophyta; Magnoliopsida; Malpighiales; Euphorbiaceae
Source: RNAcentral
UUUCUACUAUGAGAUCAUGAAUUCUCCCGAAAGGGCUUGCCAUUUGGCCAAACAAGCUUUUGAUGAGGCAAUUGCAGAGUUGGACACCUUGAGUGAGGAAUCAUAUAAGGACAGCACUCUUAUUAUGCAGUUAUUGAGAGAUAACCUCACUCUCUGGACUUCUGACUUGCCUGAAGAUGGAGGUGAGGAUAACUUAAAGAGUGAAGAAUCCAAGCCUGCAGAAGGAGAGAGCCAGCAUUGACAAAAUUGAGAAUCCUGCACAUGGCAAAGGCAGGCUAGAUUAAUUUGCAGAAGUGGCUUCUUUUUAUUAGCUUUUCUUGCGAGGGGAUUGAAUUGGAUCAAAUGAAGUAGACAGUCCAUGAAGUGAUGGUGUUUUUGUGGUCUACCAAAGUCUGAUGAUAGAUAGAUCAAUUGUUUUUCCAUUUUUCCUUUUCUUUGUUCUACUUUCUUCUCUUGUACUUCUGUUAUUUUUCACCAUUAAAACAAAUUUCUACUUUUGUUUUCCUUGCUUUACUCUUAUUAAAUAUUCUUCUAUGUAUAGACCUUAUAUCAAAAUGAUGAGCAUUUUCAUUAUGAC